RNAcentral lists this ribosomal RNA (90 nucleotides) under Vibrio splendidus. RNAcentral also lists the same sequence under 1 other name. Lineage: Bacteria; Pseudomonadati; Pseudomonadota; Gammaproteobacteria; Vibrionales; Vibrionaceae. The record is from RNAcentral.
ACCUGAUUCCAUGCCGAACUCAGAAGUGAAACACAAUAGCGCCGAUGGUAGUGUGGGGUUUCCCCAUGUGAGAGUAGGACAUCGCCAGGC